Molecule: RNA transcript, 2628 nt
Organism: Zea mays
Lineage: Eukaryota; Viridiplantae; Streptophyta; Magnoliopsida; Poales; Poaceae
Gene name: chaperone protein DnaJ
Exons: 7
Source: RefSeq, a predicted model, not a curated record
AACGGGCAAGUGGGCAUGGCCGAGUUUCUGGAGGCUUCCUGCGUCGCGUGGAGGCAGACAGAGCUCAGGGAGGGAGGGAGGGGAAGAACGAAGCAGCAGCAACAGCGCCAUCCGCUCGCUUCCUUCCCCUUCUCUCCCUCCUCCCCCACCGCCGGCGUCGCCUCUACGCGCGCGCGCCCCGCCGGGGGCUGCCGUCGCUGCACCCGUGGCCCGUGGGCGGCGGCCGCGUACCUGUACCUACGUGCUGCCGGGGGGGGGGGGGGGGGGGGGGGGGGGAGCUACGCGUCUCCUCUCGCCAUGGACGCCGGUGUAGAGAAGUGCGGCGACGCGGCGGCGGAGGGCGGCGGCGACCUCUACGCUGUCCUCGGGCUCAAGAAGGAGUGCUCCGACGCCGACCUCAAGGUCGCUUACCGGAAGCUCGCCAAGAAAUGGCACCCGGACAAAUGCUCCUCCUCCUCCAUCAGCGUGAAGCACAUGGAGGAAGCCAAGGAGAAGUUCCAAGAGAUCCAGGGCGCCUAUUCGGUACUCUCCGACGCCAAUAAACGGCUCCUCUACGAUGUGGGAGUAUAUGAUGACGAGGACGACGAGGAUAGCAUGCAGGGGAUGGGGGACUUCAUUGGUGAGAUGACCCAGAUGAUGAGCCAGGUGCGGCCGAUGAGGCAGGAAAGCUUUGAGGAGCUGCAGCAGCUUUUUGUCGACAUGUUCCAGUCUGAUAUUGAUUCAGGAUUCUGCAAUGGGACUGCUAAGGGCCAUCAGGUUCAGGGGCAAGCCAAAAGUAGAACAUGCUCACCACGGUCCCCUCCUACUACUAUAGUAAAGGAGGCAGAGGUGUCAUCAUGUAAUGGCUUCAAUAAGCGGGGUUCAUCAGCAAUGGACUCAGGAAAGCCUCCAAGGCCUGUUGAAUGUGGUGCAGGUCAGAGCCAGGCUGGAUUUUGUUUUGGGCUUGCUUCUGACGAACGGUCAUGCAAUUGACCAAACAUGUACCAUAAGCAAAUGUGAUGUAGGAGAUUGUUAUGUAAAGAGACUUUUGUGGCCACUUUGAUGUUUUGUUUUAUGCGUACCUUUUUUGAAAAAAAAAAUGAUUGUGGUGCUAUGUGAGUGCCUUUUUCUCAUCAUAAUUUUAGGCGUCUGUAGAUUCACUUGAGAAGUAUGAAGUCCCUAGGUGGUUAUUAAAAGAAGUUAGCAGCUAUGUAAAAGUUAGCUACAGUGGCGAGUCUUUAAGUGCUGAUAUUCCUUGAUAGUAUGCUCAUGUGUUCACGUCAUUUUUCUGUUACUCUCUAUUACUGCUUCCUGUGUUGUGAAAUAUAUUAUUUUGCCCUGGUGUAUUUGGUAUUUAUAAGGUUUAUGAAGAAACAGAAAUUCAGCAUGGCUGGUACAAAUUUUAAAUAUAUAUUUUUUAUCGAUAAACUUUUGGUUUAUCCUUUAUUCAUUUGCCAAGGGAUGUUAGUCCUGGGUCACUUGCUGGGCCCCAUUCUAUCUUAGUACCUAGGCCCUUUGGGGCGUUUAAUAGUCAUCAUGAUCACAUGAUAUAGUCCAAUAAAUUGUUAAGGACUCUACUGAAACUUUUUAUAUUGAUUGGGUCCCAUGGGGGCUACGAAAAGCUCCACCACUAGAUGCAUUCUUGACAUGAAGACUUGACGUUUUCGCAUAAAAGCUUUUUUUUUUAAAAAAAAACAGGUAGACGGUCCAAGUGGUGGAACAGACCGAUGUACCACUUUUUCCCAUAUAUGUAGCUGCGUGAAAGUGGAUUUUUCAUAUCCUUGUGAUGUGAUGUCUCAUAUUCCAUGUCAUUUUGGUUGCAUAUUGUGUCAUUUUGGGUGGUAGCAGUGCUUUAAUUCUUUAUUAUGAGUUCAUUACCAGUUUGGCAUGUGAACAGAUAGAUCGGUCACACGUCAUUUUCUGCUUUACAGGUAUCACUUUCUUGGAUAAUUGGAUUGGAUUGGCACAUUGUGUUGUGCCUUUGCUGACUUGUCCUGCACUAUUUUCCUGUUGGAAUUCUGUUCACGGUCCCCUUAGUAUAUAGUACCUUAAAUUGCCAUUCACCUGGAUGCCUCUGAUGCUCCAUGUUUGUUCUUUUCUUUGAGUACCCGACAAAACUAGUGGUGCUGGUGAGCGACACGCCAAAGCCGCGAGGUCCGAACGCCAACCGGAAGAGGAACGGCCGGAAACAGAAGCUGUUCCCCAAGCACUACGUUACAUCCGAAGAUGAUACGGCCGGUUCCUAGCAUCAGCAGCACGGUAGCAGUUUGACCGUUGGCUUUGGUGAUGUCAGCAGUAGGGAGGGCACAUCAUGUCGCCUCUGCCAGCUGCUGUGAUCUGAAGAGGCGUUUAGCUCAUCAUAUGCCUUUAGUCUUUUGAGAGGUCUUUAGGGUUGAAAGGUACUUCGAAAACCGAACCAGCGUCUACAGGCCUAAGAGGGAUUUCCAUUGAAACUCGUCGAUGAUACUACAGUUUUCUUUCCCCAUCUGUGCCGGUUGUGUUGUACUACCACUACCAGUGACAGUGAGUGACUUCUAAGCUAUUCAUUUUUUUAACUGGAGAAGUUGAUACCAUGAUAAUUAAAAAAAAUUGGGUGUGUAUUGAACUAUUACCAAGAAAAUAGUACUUGGAUUGUGAUGUUCUGAACAU